RNAcentral lists this ribosomal RNA (429 nucleotides) under uncultured bacterium. RNAcentral describes it as "bacterial SSU rRNA". It matches the Rfam family "Bacterial small subunit ribosomal RNA", at positions 29 to 502 of the family's 1533-position model. The record is from RNAcentral.
AACGAACGCUGGCGGCAGGCCUAACACAUGCAAGUCGAGCGCACUCUUCGGAGUGAGCGGCGGACGGGUUAGUAACGCGUGGGAAUAUACCCUUCUCUAAGGAAUAGCCUCGGGAAACUGAGAGUAAUACCUUAUACGCCCUUCGGGGGAAAGAUUUAUCGGAGAGGGAUUAGCCCGCGUAAGAUUAGAUAGUUGGUGGGGUAAUGGCCUACCAAGUCUACGAUCUUUAGCUGGUUUUAGAGGAUGAUCAGCAACACUGGGACUGAGACACGGCCCAGACUCCUNACGGGAGGCAGCAGUGGGGAAUCUUGGACAAUGGGCGCAAGCCUGAUCCAGCCAUGCCGCGUGAGUGAUGAAGGCCUUAGGGUCGUAAAGCUCUUUCGCCAGGGAUGAUAAUGACAGUACCGUGGUAAAGAAACCCCGCUAACU